GCCAGCAUGAGGCAAUGGUUUUAGCGUUGGACUGGGACUCUGAAGUCCAGGGUUCGAAUCCCAGCUGAGCCA
Non-coding RNA from Phrynosoma platyrhinos (Desert horned lizard), 72 nucleotides. The record is from the annotation of a GenBank genome assembly. NCBI's taxonomy places the organism in Eukaryota, Metazoa, Chordata, Lepidosauria, Squamata, Phrynosomatidae.